AGUGAACGCUGGCGGUAGGCCUAACACAUGCAAGUCGAACGGCCGCACAGUAAGAGCUUGCUCCUACGGGUGGCGAGGGGCGGACGGGUGAGGAAUACAUCGGAAUCUACUUUUUCGUGGGGGAUAACGUAGGGAAACAUACGCUAAUACCGCAUACGACCUACGGGAGGAAGCAGGGGAGCUUCGGACCUUGCGCGACUGAAUGAGACGAUGUCGGAUUAGCUAGUUGGCGGGGUAAAGGCCCACCAAGGCGACGAUCCGUAGCUGGCCUGAGAGGAUGAUCAGCCACACUGGAACUGAGACACGGUCCAGACUCCUACGGGAGGCAGCAGUGGGGAAUAUUGGACAAUGGGCGCAAGCCUGAUCCAGCCAUACCGCGUGGGUGAAGAAGGCCUUCGGGUUGUAAAGCCCUUUUGUUGGGAAAGAAAAUCAGCAGGUGAAUCCCCCCCUGUUCUGACGGUACCCAAAGAGUAAGCACCGGCUAACUUCGUG
RNAcentral lists this ribosomal RNA (492 nucleotides) under uncultured bacterium. RNAcentral's name for it is "partial 16S ribosomal RNA". It matches the Rfam family "Bacterial small subunit ribosomal RNA", at positions 29 to 507 of the family's 1533-position model. The record is from RNAcentral.